RNAcentral lists this ribosomal RNA (497 nucleotides) under uncultured bacterium. RNAcentral describes it as "partial 16S ribosomal RNA". It matches the Rfam family "Bacterial small subunit ribosomal RNA", at positions 28 to 507 of the family's 1533-position model. The record is from RNAcentral.
GAUGAACGCUGGCGGCGUGCCUAAUACAUGCAAGUCGAGCGAACAGACGAGGAGCUUGCCCCUCUGACAUUAGCGGCGGGCGGGUGAGUAACACGUGGAUAACCUCCCUAUAAGACUGGGAUACCUUCGGGGAACCGGAGCUAAUACCGGAUAAUAUAUCCAACCGCAUGGUCCAAUCGUGAAAGACGGUUUUGUUGUCUCUUAUACAUGCAUCCGCGCCGCAGUAGCAAGUUGAUAAGCUAACGGCUUACCAAGCCGCCGAUGGGUGGCGGACCUGAGAGGGGGAUGGGCCACACUGGAACUAGGACACGGUCCAGACUCUUAGGGGAGGCGGAGGUGGGGAAUUUUCCGAAAUGGCGGAAAGCCUAACGGAGCAACGCCGGGUGGGUGAGGAAGGUCUUCGGUUCGUAAAACUCUGUUAUUAGGGAAGAACGUAUGUGUAAGUAACGAUGCACGUCUUGACGGUACCUAAACAGAAAGCCACGGCUAACUACGUG